AUGGCUCCUACCGAGGCUGAGGAUGAUGUAGAGGAGGGAGAAGAGAAGAAGAAGAAGAAGAAGAGGGAAAGGAAGGCAGCCGGAGCUGCUUUCACGUGGAUUCAAAAUAACUUUGCGACGUGCCCUCCGGAUGCAACUGAUGAUGUGAUCCAGACACAUGCUCGUGUGUAUAUGUGGUACAUUGUGUCGAGGACUUUGUUUCCUGACUCCACUGGCAAGAACGCUCCAUGGAUGUGGCUGAAGGCGUUGACCGUCUUCGAUAGCAAAUGGAGCUGGGGUUCAGCGACUCUUGCCUACUUGUACCGACAGGUAGUUGGUCUGUUUUGUGAUCAACUCAUUUAUUCAUUAGCAAUGCAAGCUUGCUGUCAAGUUAACAUUGUUUUUCUUUCAUAUGUAGCUGGAUGA
Molecule: ribosomal RNA, 405 nt
Filed under: Triticum aestivum (bread wheat)
Lineage: Eukaryota; Viridiplantae; Streptophyta; Magnoliopsida; Poales; Poaceae
Description: partial small subunit ribosomal RNA
Source: RNAcentral